GGGNGGCNNGCUAUAAUGCAAGUCGAGCGGACAGAUGGGAGCUUGCUCCCUGAUGUUAGCGGCGGACGGGUGAGUAACACGUGGGUAACCUGCCUGUAAGACUGGGAUAACUCCGGGAAACCGGGGCUAAUACCGGAUGGUUGUUUGAACCGCAUGGUUCAGACAUAAAAGGUGGCUUCGGCUACCACUUACAGAUGGACCCGCGGCGCAUUAGCUAGUUGGUGAGGUAACGGCUCACCAAGGCGACGAUGCGUAGCCGACCUGAGAGGGUGAUCGGCCACACUGGGACUGAGACACGGCCCAGACUCCUACGGGAGGCAGCAGUAGGGAAUCUUCCGCAAUGGACGAAAGUCUGACGGAGCAACGCCGCGUGAGUGAUGAAGGUUUUCGGAUCGUAAAGCUCUGUUGUUAGGGAAGAACAAGUGC
RNAcentral lists this ribosomal RNA (426 nucleotides) under Bacillus velezensis. Its description in RNAcentral is "bacterial SSU rRNA". It matches the Rfam family "Bacterial small subunit ribosomal RNA", at positions 38 to 456 of the family's 1533-position model. Lineage: Bacteria; Bacillati; Bacillota; Bacilli; Caryophanales; Bacillaceae. The record is from RNAcentral.